This 1690-nucleotide ribosomal RNA is filed under the name human gut metagenome. Its description in RNAcentral is "bacterial LSU rRNA". It matches the Rfam family "Bacterial large subunit ribosomal RNA", at positions 1319 to 2925 of the family's 2925-position model. The record is from RNAcentral.
CAGUUCUCCGGUCUUACCGUAGACGGAUUAAAGGAGCAGGUUCGUCCGGAAGCUCUUACCCGUAUCCAGAGCAGUCUCGUAUUAGAGCAGAUCGCUAAGGAAGAAAAUAUCGAAGUAUCUGAUGCAGAUGUAGAUGCAGAGAUCGAGAAGAUGGCAAAGAAUUACGGUAUGGAAGCUGAUAAGCUCAAAGAGUACAUGGGCGAAGGCGAGAAAGAAUCCAUGAAGAGAGAACUUGCCAUCACAAAGGCAGUUGAACUGAUCAUGGACAACAUCAAAGAAAGAGCAAAGGCUAAGACAAAGAAAGAAAAAGAAGCUGAGGCGAAGCAUCGAGCUCUCUUUUGAGCGAAGUGAUUGGAUGUGCUUCCAGGAAAAGCCUCUAAGCUCCAGUUCAGCGGGACCGUACCGCAAACCGACACUGGUGGGCGAGCUGAAUAUGCUCAGGCGCUUGAGAGAACUCGGGAGAAGGAACUCGGCAAAUUGACACCGUAACUUCGGAAGAAGGUGUGCCGUAGUAGCGUGAGAGGAGAGACUCCUCGAGCGUGAAUCGGUCUCAGAGAAUAGGUGGCUGCGACUGUUUAUUAAAAACACAGCACUCUGCAAAGUCGAAAGACGACGUAUAGGGUGUGAUGCCUGCCCGGUGCUGGAAGAUUAAUUGAUGGGGUGCAAGCUCCUGAUCGAAGUCCCAGUAAACGGCGGCCGUAACUAUAACGGUCCUAAGGUAGCGAAAUUCCUUGUCGGGUAAGUUCCGACCUGCACGAAUGGCAUAACGAUGGCCACACUGUCUCCUCCUGAGACUCAGUGAAGUUGAAGUGUUUGUGAUGAUGCAAUCUCCCCGCGGCUAGACGGAAAGACCCCAUGAACCUUUACUGUAGCUUUGCAUUGGACUUUGAACCGAUCUGUGUAGGAUAGGCGGGAGCCUGUGAAACCACAACGCCAGUUGUGGCGGAGGCGUCCUUGAAAUACCGCCCUGAUUUGUUUGAGGUUCUAACCUGGGACAGUCAUCCUGUCCGGGGACCGUGCAUGGUAGGCAGUUUGACUGGGGCGGUCUCCUCCUAAAGGGUAACGGAGGAGUACGAAGGUACGCUAGGUACGGUCGGAAAUCGUGCUGAUAGUGCAAUGGCAAAAGCGUGCUUGACUGCGAGAGCAACAACUCGAGCAGAUGCGAAAGCAGGUCAUAGUGAUCCGGUGGCUCUGAAUGGAAGGGCCAUCGCUCAACGGAUAAAAGGUACUCUGGGGAUAACAGGCUGAUACCGCCCAAGAGUUCAUAUCGACGGCGGUGUUUGGCACCUCGAUGUCGGCUCAUCUCAUCCUGGGGCUGUAGUCGGUCCCAAGGGUAUGGCUGUUCGCCAUUUAAAGAGGUACGUGAGCUGGGUUUAAAACGUCGUGAGACAGUUUGGUCCCUAUCUGCCGUGGGCGUUGGAAGAUUGACGGGGGCUGCUCCUAGUACGAGAGGACCGGAGUGGACGCACCUCUGGUGUACCGGUUGUCACGCCAGUGGCAUUGCCGGGUAGCUAAGUGCGGAAGAGAUAACCGCUGAAAGCAUCUAAGCGGGAAACUUGCCUGAAGAUGAGUCUUCCCGGAGGUAAAACCUCCCUCAAGAGUCGUCCGAGACCAGGACGUCGAUAGGUCAGGUGUGUAAGCGCUGUGAGGCGUUGAGCUAACUGAUACUAAUUGCUCGUGAGGCUUGAUC